Molecule: ribosomal RNA, 253 nt
Filed under: uncultured bacterium
Lineage: Bacteria
Description: partial 16S ribosomal RNA
Rfam family: Bacterial small subunit ribosomal RNA
Source: RNAcentral
UACGUAGGGCGCAAGCGUUGUCCGGAAUUAUUGGGCGUAAAGAGCUCGUAGGCGGUCUGUCGCGUCUGCCGUGAAAACCCGAGGCUUAACCUCGGGCUGGCGGUGGAUACGGGCAGACUAGAGGUAGGUAGGGGAGAAUGGAAUUCCCGGUGUAGCGGUGAAAUGCGCAGAUAUCGGGAGGAACACCGGUGGCGAAGGCGGUUCUCUGGGCCUUACCUGACGCUGAGACGCGAAAGCGUGGGGAGCAAACAGG